This is a small nucleolar RNA of Pyrgilauda ruficollis (rufous-necked snowfinch), 81 nucleotides long. RefSeq annotates it as small nucleolar RNA SNORD87. Lineage: Eukaryota; Metazoa; Chordata; Aves; Passeriformes; Passeridae. The transcript has a single exon. The record is from RefSeq and is a predicted model, not a curated record.
CCUGGCAUAAUGAUGAGACUUUUUUGCCGUUUACCCAUCUGAAUGUUUUUUGAUGUGUAUCUUGAGAUCUGAAAUGCCAGU